This 433-nucleotide ribosomal RNA is filed under the name uncultured bacterium. RNAcentral describes it as "partial 16S ribosomal RNA". It matches the Rfam family "Bacterial small subunit ribosomal RNA", at positions 29 to 507 of the family's 1533-position model. The record is from RNAcentral.
AACGAACGCUGGCGGCAUGCCUAACACAUGCAAGUCGAACGAGACCUUCGGGUCUAGUGGCGCACGGGUGCGUAACGCGUGGGAAUCUGCCCUUGGGUUCGGAAUAACAGUUGGAAACGACUGCUAAUACCGGAUGAUGACGUAAGUCCAAAGAUUUAUCGCCCAGGGAUGUGCCCGCGUAGGAUUAGCUAGUUGGUGGGGUAAAGGCCUACCAAGGCGACGAUCCUUAGCUGGUCUGAGAGGAUGAUCAGCCACACUGGGACUGAGACACGGCCCAGACUCCUACGGGAGGCAGCAGUGGGGAAUAUUGGACAAUGGGCGAAAGCCUGAUCCAGCAAUGCCGCGUGAGUGAUGAAGGCCUUAGGGUUGUAAAACUCUUUUACCCGGGAUGAUAAUGACAGUACCGGGAGAAUAAGCCCCGGCUAACUCCGUG